UUGGAGGGCAAGUCUGGUGCCCGCAGCCGCGGUAAUUCCAGCUCCAAUAGCGUAUAUUAAAGUUGUUGCAGUUAAAAAGCUCGUAGUUGAAUUUCGGGGUCAGUAGGUUGGUCAUGCCACUGGUAUGUACUGGUCUCACUGAUUCCUCCUUCCUGAUGAACUGUAAUGCCAUUAAUUUGGUGUUGCAGGGAGUCUGGACUGUUACUUUGAAAAAAUUAGAGUGUUUAAAGCAGGCUAACGCCUGAAUACAUUAGCAUGGAAUAAUGAAAUAGGACGUUCGACCCUAUUUUGUUGGUUUCUAGGAUUGACGUAAUGAUUAAUAGGGAUAGUUGGGGGCAUUAGUAUUCAAUUGUCAGAGGUGAAAUUCUUGGAUUUAUUGAAGACUAACUACUGCGAAAGCAUUUGCCAAGGAUGUUUUCAUUAAUCAAGAACGAAAGUUAGGGGAUCGAAGACGAUCAGAUACCGUCGUAGCCUUAACCAUAAACUAUGCCGACUAGGGAUCGGAUGAUGUUGAUUUUUUAAUGACUCAUUCGGCGCCUUACGGGAAACCAAAGUGUUUGGGUUC
This 565-nucleotide ribosomal RNA is filed under the name uncultured Glomeromycotina. RNAcentral describes it as "SSU rRNA". It matches the Rfam family "Eukaryotic small subunit ribosomal RNA", at positions 548 to 1114 of the family's 1831-position model. Lineage: Eukaryota; Fungi; Glomeromycota. The record is from RNAcentral.